This 325-nucleotide ribosomal RNA is filed under the name Bacillota bacterium. RNAcentral describes it as "Firmicutes bacterium (anaerobic digester metagenome) partial 23S ribosomal RNA". It matches the Rfam family "Bacterial large subunit ribosomal RNA", at positions 2677 to 2925 of the family's 2925-position model. Lineage: Bacteria; Bacillati; Bacillota. The record is from RNAcentral.
CUUAGUACGAGAGGACCGGGGUGGACGCACCUCUGGUGUCCCAGUUGUCGCGCCAGCGGCACGGCUGGGUAACCAAGUGCGGAGCGGAUAAACGCUGAAAGCAUCUAAGCGUGAAGCCGACCCCAAGAUAAGAUCUCCCACCUCUGGAGGCUAGAGGCUAGAAACUAGAUGCUGGAAAGGUCUUAUGAGGACUCCAGCGUCCAGGUUCCAGCUUCCAGCCUCCAGAGGGUAAGACUCCUCGUAGAUGACGAGGUUGAUAGGCCGGGGGUGUAAGCGCAGCAAUGCGUUGAGCCGACCGGUACUAAUCAGUCGAGGGCUUGACCUG